CACACAGGCAGUCACACACUCACACAGACAAUCACACACAGGCAGUCACACACUCACACAGACAAUCACACACAGGCAGUCACACACUCACACAGACAGUCACACACACACUCACACAGACAAUCACACACAGGCAGUCACACACUCACACAGGCAGUCACACACUCACACAGACAAUCACACACAGGCAGUCACACACUCACACAGGCAGUCACACACAGGGCCGGACUGGGGAUACGAAGCAGCCCUGGAAAAAAAUCUAUGCCAGCCCCAUAAGUCAUUGUGCUAUGUAGGGUGUUUUAUAUAUAUAUAGGCAAUUGAAAUAGUUGGCUGCACUCUCGGAUUUCCUGAAAAUUUAACUUUUAUUGAAAUAUUUAAGAUCAAUGUUUCAGUCCCUCUUGUGGACUUUCGUCAUGAUCUUGAUGCAAGGGACUGAAACGUUGAAAUAUUAAAUAUUUCAAUAAAAGUAAAAUUUUAAGGAAAUCCGAGAGUGCAGCCAACUAUUUCAAUUGCCUAUAUAUAUUCUUCUUCUAAUUCAAAAUAUUAGUUCUUUUAGGGUAAUUAAAUUAUACAGUAAAGCAUUCUCACACACAGACAGACAAUCUUACUGAUGCACACAAAUAGGCUCAUUGACAGACAAUGACACACACAGACAAGGUUACUGGCGCACACACAAAUUUAAUACAGACAAACUCUGACACAAGCUUACUAUAGACAAGCUCACUGUCACACACACACGCUCACUACAGACAAGCUCACUGAUGCGCACACACUCUCCCUACAGACAAGCCCAUUGACACACACAUGCUCCCUACAGAAGAGCUUACUAACAGAUUCACUACAGACAAGCUCACUGACACACACAUGCUCACUACAGACAAACUCACUGUACACACAUGCUCACCACAGACAGGCUCCGACACACACAGACAUAUGAUCCCUACAGACAAGCUCACUGACACACAUACAAGCUCACUCACUAGCAGGCACACACACACACACACACAAACUCACUAGCAGGCACACACACACACACACACACACACAGAGGCUCCCUCACUAGCAGAUGCGUGCACACACACACAAAGGCAGACAGUCACUGACACCCAGACAGACAGCCACACACACAAACAGGCAGACAGUCACGCACACACAGGCAGACAGUCACACAACAGACAGUCACACAGUCUCACACACACACAGACAGUCACACACACACUCACAGACAGUCACACACUCACACAGGCAGUCACACACUCACACAGACAAUCACACACAGGCAGUCACACACUCACACAGACAGUCACACACAUACUCACACAGACAAUCACACACUCACACAGACAAUCACACACAGGCAGUCACACACUCACACAGACAGUCACACACUCACACAGACAAUCACACACAGGCAGUCACACACUCACACAGGCAGUCACACACUCACACAGACAGUGACACACACAGACAGUCACACACACACACACACAGACCAGUCACACACACUCACAGACAGUCACACACUCCACACGGGGCAGUCACACACUCACACAGACAAUCCCACACACGGGCAGUCCACACGCACUCCACACAGGCAGUCACACACUCACACAGACAGUCACACACACACUCACACAGACAAUCACACACAGGCAGUCACACACACAGACAAUCACACACAGGCAGUCACACACUCACACAGACAAUCACACACAGGCAGUCACACACUCACACAGGCAGUCACACACUCACACAGACAAUCACACACAGGCAGUCACACACUCACACAGACAAUCAUACACAGGCAGUCACACACUCACACAGACAAUCACACACAGGCAGUCACACACUCACACAGACAGUCACACACACACUCACACAGACAAUCACACACAGGCAGUCACACACUCACACAGGCAGUCACACACUCACACAGACAAUCACACACAGGCAGUCACACACCCACACAGGCAGUCACACACACACUCACACA
Molecule: long non-coding RNA, 1993 nt
Filed under: Pelobates cultripes (western spadefoot toad)
Lineage: Eukaryota; Metazoa; Chordata; Amphibia; Anura; Pelobatidae
Source: RNAcentral